CUGGUGUGCACGUGCUCAGCACGUGAGUGGAAAGGGGGAAGUAGACUUCUGAUUGGAGUCUUCUUCUCUCCCAAUUCUGAUGAGAUCAGAGAAAGGGAUGAUCAAUUUAGAUUGGGAAAAUCCUAGAAUUCAGUUUAUAAGUAGUCGACCGCCUUUUUCCCUUGGAUCUCCAUUGUAUUUUCUUGAGAAACUGCCGCCAGUCUUCUGAGUUCUUCUUCUCGGAGUUUCUUUUGGGAUUUCACCGAGAAAGGCCACCGGAUCCCUCCUUUUUAACGUCGCCGGACCGAGAUAGUCCCUCCCCUUUGUUCUUUUUUCUUUUUCUAGCAAUCUCCUCAUCGUAGCUGCUCGGAUUUGGCCUCGAGCCAUUGGAUUGGGUGUGACCAAGGCAUUCUCUAGUUUGUCUUUUGCUUCGCCGACUACCUCCAGCCACGGCCAUUGUUUCGGUUGCUACUUCACCAUCGGGAAUCGCUGUAGGUGGUCGGCCCCGAGCCUUCCACUGCCAUGGCUGGGAGAGGAGGGAAGGGGAGGAUGGCCUCUGUUUUCAAGAAGAAAAAACAAAAGGAAUUGAGAGUUUUCCUCCUCUCCCUUCCUUCAUUUCUCUUUUUUCUCUAAUUUAUUUAUUUUUUCUCUUAGAUGGGUUAGGGAUCCCUGGGGAAAAGAUUCAGAAGACUAAAUGGUAGACUCCAGCGAACCUUACUAUAGGAUUCUAGACAAAUAAUUGUUAUACUAUAGAUUUUAUUUUUAAUAUUAAUUUUGGAUCCAUAAGAAAAUAUUUUUUUAGACAAGAGA
Molecule: long non-coding RNA, 789 nt
Filed under: Elaeis guineensis (African oil palm)
Lineage: Eukaryota; Viridiplantae; Streptophyta; Magnoliopsida; Arecales; Arecaceae
Description: long non-coding RNA (EGUI_LNC000894)
Source: RNAcentral